GAUGGGCGCUGGCGGCGUGCCUAAUACAUGCAAGUCGAGCGAACAGACGAGGAGCUUGCUCCUCUGACGUUAGCGGCGGACGGGUGAGUAACACGUGGAUAACCUACCUAUAAGACUGGGAUAACUUCGGGAAACCGGAGCUAAUACCGGAUAAUAUAUUGAACCGCAUGGUUCAAUAGUGAAAGACGGUUUUGCUGUCACUUAUAGAUGGAUCCGCGCCGCAUUAGCUAGUUGGUAAGGUAACGGCUUACCAAGGCAACGAUGCGUAGCCGACCUGAGAGGGUGAUCGGCCACACUGGAACUGAGACACGGUCCAGACUCCUACGGGAGGCAGCAGUAGGGAAUCUUCCGCAAAGGGCGAAAGCUUGACGGAGCAACGCCGCGUGAGUGAUGAAGGUCUUCGGAUCGUAAAACUCUGUUAUUAGGGAAGAACAAAUGUGUAAGUAACUAUGCACGUCUUGACGGUACCUAAUCAGAAAGCCACGGCUAACUACGUG
RNAcentral lists this ribosomal RNA (497 nucleotides) under uncultured bacterium. RNAcentral's name for it is "partial 16S ribosomal RNA". It matches the Rfam family "Bacterial small subunit ribosomal RNA", at positions 28 to 507 of the family's 1533-position model. The record is from RNAcentral.